UUUGCCCCACUUUGCAUCUCAUCCGUUUAUUCUGAGCAGAAAGUGAGUGUUCCAAUUGGCCCUCCCACUAGCUAACCCCAUGCAACGUCCAUGUGUUACCCGCCCUGUCUGCGCGUGGGUCCCACCUUAGGUUGGGUCCACUCGUCGGUGACUGCGGGUGUACUUUAGUUCGGUUGAAAAAGCUCUCCUCCCGUAGGGGUAAAUUGGGUAUUUCCUCGUGCGGCCAUUGGAGGAGACAAAACUGCAGCCCGAUCCAGAUCCCUAGCCAUUCGUUUCCUCCUCCCAGCUCCCUGCCGCCGCCUCCCCAUCUCCGCUCCCCUCCGCGGCCGGGCUCCUCUCCGGUGAGCAACCGUCACCCGCGUCCUCUCGGGGAUCUACGCGGCGCACCUCGCCGGCGUCGUCCUUGGGGAGGAGCGUCUCCACCAUCUCCGCGCCGGUGUGGAUUGAGAUCUUCGGUCUCCACCAUCUCCGCCCCUGCCGGGCUCGAGAUCUGCGCGCCUGCGGCGCUCGCGUGGCAGAAAAGAGGAAGAAGAAGCUGCACGUGGGAGAUCGGGAAGAUGCGUUGCAGAAGUGCGCGCGGAGAGGAUGGCGGCGAGGAGAGUGGCAGCGGCCGUGCGGAGGGAGAGGACGUGCGGCACGGUGUGGGGAGUCGGCCGGCGGUGGCAUGGCUCAGGAUCCCCUCCGUGUUUGGCGGCGCAGAGCAGAGUGACGAGCCGCAACAGCUCACCGUGCGUGCGCAGCUCGUUCUCCUACGGGGGCUAUGCCCGUCCCCCACGCCAAAGCUGCUGCUCUCCGGCGUGAAGGGCAAGUGAGCUGGUUAUGCGGCUAAACCCCCUCCUUUUUAUAGAUCCUCAUGAUUUGUACUGCUCUAUUUCGAUUUGAGAUGAAGAUUUUUAUCUGUGCUGCUACCUGGGUUGUGCAGGAUUGGAUGCAACAUGGUCGUUUAUGUGGUGGAGAGGGAGUCCUGGAGGUCAUCGUCAGCCAGAGAUUGCUAAUGGUGUCGCCUGCUUGUCCGCGGCGCCCCCAGCGGUGCGAAUCAACAACGGAGGAGGCCAUGGAAGAGAGGAAGGAGGCAUGGAGAUGUUGUGGCAAGCAGAUGCAGUCAGCGAUGGAGCGCUAGCUGUAGUCGAGGCUGAGCCAGAAAGAUAAGGGAGGAGAAGGGAGCAUGAAAUGAAUGUGUCUCUGAUGAUUGUUUCCAUGACUAGAAACAUGGUCAAAAGCCCCAGGUAAAUUUCCCCCCUCUUCUUUUAUUUGGGGUCCUUUUGGUGGUGAGACAUAUGUUGCUUCCAAGGAUCUCUUGGCUGCACUCUGCCGGCACCAGGUAUGAACCCUACUGAUGAAGUAGCAUGGAGAUGGAGAGAAAAUGAGCACAUGGAGGCUGGUUUGUGUUGUUUUUAUGAGAUGGAGAUCAAGUGGUUCUAAAUCUCAAUGUAUUCUAAUCCGAUCAAUUUAAUUUGUGAUGUAAUCUUGCUGAUUUGAUGUGGUUAGUGUAGUGGUAAAUUUUCCAACCAUCAACUGAUGCUUUUGAGGCAGGUGCCUUUGGGACUGAUUAUCCUGGCAAUACGGUGGUGGAUGUUAAGAAUCCUUCACUGAGUUGAUGCUCGGGUUCAUAUUUGUUGCUAAAGCGAUCCAGAUCCCUCUAGUGCCAAUGGAGGAUGGAGUGAUCCGUGCUCAGUUUGUGUACGCAACUUGGAACUUCUCCACCGUGGUAUGAGUCUUACGCCUGCAUUGGUGGCUUGAUAUGGCUGUGAGAAAUGUUAUCAAAUAGAUCUAGCUGAGAAGCUACAUCAGAUGAGUUCUUUACUUCACUAGAGAUAUUGGUUUCUCCCCUCACUUAAUUUAUCUAUUGGAAGCUCUUAUCCACUUCGCUGACGAUACAAGCCACUUGAGAUUUGCAUGGACAGAUGCAUGCUACAAUAUCUUCACUCUAGUAAUGGCUUUGAUCUGGUACUUCCGUGCACCCUCUAUUUAUAGGGUUGUUCCAGUUUUCUCCUCUGCUCUGCACGGAGUAUAUGGUUGCGCUGCUGUUUGGUAUUGAGGUUCUUUCUUCGCGUUGUGCUUGCCGAGUCUCUCAGAUAGCUAUAUGAGUUACACCUGUGAGUCUAUGUGCCCAUUCACUAGCCCUAUGCACCCAUCCCUGAAGCUCCAGUUCAUCUACGUAAUUUUUUUUACUAAUAACAUGAAUACAGUACAUUAGAUUAUCUUCAAGAAAAAGAUUAAUGGUUUAUAUAUGUACUUCUGUUCGUGUCCAUCAAAAAGAUGAAUGCAUUUUUUGGUAUGUCUGUAGGUCAACAGUAAUUAUGGUAUGAUGUCACAAAAAAUAAGAGGAGUUCAGUCUGACGGAACA
Lolium perenne is the source of this 2347-nucleotide non-coding RNA. The record is from RefSeq and is a predicted model, not a curated record. NCBI's taxonomy places the organism in Eukaryota, Viridiplantae, Streptophyta, Magnoliopsida, Poales, Poaceae.